AGUGAACGCUGGCGGUAGGCCUAACACAUGCAAGUCGAACGGCAGCACAGUAAGAGCUUGCUCUUACGGGUGGCGAGUGGCGGACGGGUGAGGAAUACAUCGGAAUCUACUUUUUCGUGGGGGAUAACGUAGGGAAACUUACGCUAAUACCGCAUACGACCUACGGGUGAAAGCAGGGGAUCUUCGGACCUUGCGCGAUUGAAUGAGCCGAUGUCGGAUUAGCUAGUUGGCGGGGUAAAGGCCCACCAAGGCGACGAUCCGUAGCUGGUCUGAGAGGAUGAUCGGCCACACUGGAACUGGGACACGGUCCAGACUCCUACGGGAGGCAGCAGUGGGGAAUAUUGGACAAUGGGCGCAAGCCUGAUCCAGCCAUACCGCGUGGGUGAAGAAGGCGUUCGGGUUGUAAAGCCCUUUUGUUGGGAAAGAAAAGCAGCAGGUUAAUACCCCGCUGUUCUGACGGUACCCAAAGAAUAAGCACCGGCUAACUUCGUG
This 492-nucleotide ribosomal RNA is filed under the name uncultured bacterium. RNAcentral describes it as "partial 16S ribosomal RNA". It matches the Rfam family "Bacterial small subunit ribosomal RNA", at positions 29 to 507 of the family's 1533-position model. The record is from RNAcentral.